ACCUGGCUGGCUCAGUCAGUAGAGCAUGAGACUCUUGAUCUCAGGAUUGUGAGUUUGAGCCCCAUGUUGGGUG
This 73-nucleotide transfer RNA is filed under the name Felis catus (domestic cat). It matches the Rfam family "tRNA". Rfam says of the family: Transfer RNA (tRNA) molecules are approximately 80 nucleotides in length. RNAcentral also lists the same sequence under 2 other names. The record is from Rfam by way of RNAcentral. Lineage: Eukaryota; Metazoa; Chordata; Mammalia; Carnivora; Felidae.